GGUGGGAGAGUGCAUCUUCUUUGUACUUAGGGUCUUCAGAUGCCUCAGUCUUGCUCUUAGCCCAAAGAUCCCAAGCAACUUUUCCAAGGUUGCUCAGGGCUCUGUGCUGCAGUGACCUGUUGCAUAAUUCUUCCCCUUUAUGAAAUUUCCAUUUGCUCCUCUUGCUACCGGCCAGCAGUCCAGUGGUGGGAGUGAUGUCUGUCUUCCCAGACUUCUAGUGAACAGAUUUUCCCCCAGGUUUCUGGAUGCGGCCCCAACCUCCAAAAGUGCUACACUCUUGCGCCAGGGACACUGACACGGGUCACACAGAUGUUCAAACCAGAAGUGCAAGAACUGUUCGCUCUCCCCCUCCCUGAUCUACGCCCGGGUGUCUGAACGACGGGCUUUGCCUUCCCCAGCAGGCCCGCCGAGUAAUCCUCCUAGGCGUGCGAGUAGCAGCUGAUGCUGGGCGGCUGGAACCUUGGCAGAAAGAGCAGGAUGGAGGGCGUGCUGGCGGCUUGGGUCUGGCCACCUGGGUCAGUCGCGCCCCCGCCCUCCGCUGGCCCGCCCUCAGCCCCGCUCCUGCCACGCCGUGAAGUUUGCGGAAAGUUUCGCAGUUGCUUCUCCACCCGCGCCAGCCGGGGAGUUGUGACGUGACGCAGCGUCUGAGGCUCCAGGCGGGACACAGGAGUGAGGGAAGGCGAGGAGGGGAGACAACUAGCAAACAGAAGUGGAGAGAAGGAGCGCGCACUUGGGUCUGCCUUGGGCGCGCGAAUCCUCCCCGCCAUCCCCAUCCCUCGCUCCCGACGCGCUCGGUGCGGACCCGGCCCCAGCCCCUCGCAGCCCGCGCCUCCUCCCCUCCCGCGCUGCCCACUUCCCUUCCCCUCUACCCCUCCAACCCUCCUCCCUGUCCCGCGCUCCUCCCUCCGCCCUCCCCGCCCCGCCUGCCUUCCUCCCUCCUCCUCCCCGGGAGGCAUCACUCCGUCCCGACCCGGAGAGGACGCGAGCCCCGCGCGGGCGGUCCUCGCAGCCCAGCGCCAGCUCCAGCGCCGCCGCCGUGCGCCUCGGUGCCCGCGUCCGCCGGGCGCAGCGCCGCGCCGCGGGAUGGGGCCCACGCCCGGGCCUCGUCACCUGCUGCGCUUCUUCGUCCUGCUCCUUGGGGGCCUGGGGGCCGCCGCCUCCGCCCUCCCUGGUAAGACUCGGCCAACUUGGCCAACUUUGGGCGCCGGUCGCGGGGAGCGGGCCUCUCUCGACUUUUCCCUCGGCGCCCCCCUUCCCC
RNAcentral lists this long non-coding RNA (1258 nucleotides) under Heterocephalus glaber (naked mole-rat). RNAcentral's name for it is "lncRNA (ENSHGLG00000035429.1)". The record is from RNAcentral. Lineage: Eukaryota; Metazoa; Chordata; Mammalia; Rodentia; Bathyergidae.